Long non-coding RNA from Phyllostomus discolor (pale spear-nosed bat), 3581 nucleotides. RefSeq lists it as uncharacterized. The transcript is spliced from 5 exons. The record is from RefSeq and is a predicted model, not a curated record. Lineage: Eukaryota; Metazoa; Chordata; Mammalia; Chiroptera; Phyllostomidae.
UAAUCUGGAUCGGUUUUACCUCUUUCCCCACUUUGGGGCCCAAGCAAAAGAAUGUGAAAGACCACCUUUCCUAGGAUGCACUGCGGUGCGUUCAGCUCCACUUCCUCCUUAGACGGAGGGAAGGAUACAGCGAAGCUUGUGUGGUAAAAGCCGAGUUAAAGGGGAUGGUGGUCGGAAAUAGAGGUCUGGAGUUCACGACUUCUCUAGAAGGAGGGGAGGGGAAUGAAAGGCUCCCGUUGAAGAAGUAUUCCAGAUGGGAAAAAUGAGCUGGGCCCCUAAUGUUAGUUGCCCUGAUACAUAACUCUUCUACCACCAUUACUAUAGCAUCACUUGCAUCUGAAUUGCAAAAAUUUAGUUAAAACUGAAAUUCAUAUUUUUUUCAGAGUUUCUAGUAUGGUGCUUCUAAACUUCCUGGAUUGCUUUCAACAAACGUGAUGAUGAAACUGAUGCACAGUGGGGUUAAGUAACUUGCUCAGUGUUUCACUGCUGGCAUUCUUUGUUUUACUGCAUUUUGUUUUAUUGUGUUUCGCAGAUACUGCAUUUUUUACGAAUUGAAGGUUUGUGGCAACCCUGCAUCAAAGUGAAUUUCUGACAGCUCCAUUUUCUAACAGCAUUUGCUCAUUUUGUGUCUCUGUGUCUACUCCUGGUGGAGAUGCUGUGAAGAUUGUUGAAAUGACAACAAAGGAUUUAGAAUGUUUCAUAACUUUGUUGAUAAAGCAGCAAGAUUGUUUGAGAGGACUGACUCCAGUUUUGAAAGGAGUUUUCCUGUGGGUAAAAUGCUACCAAACAGCAUUGCAUGCUACAGAGAAAUCAUCUGUGAAAGGAGGAGUCAGUGCGGCACAUUUCACUAUUGUCUUCUUUUAAGAAAUUUCCACAACCACUCCAGCAUCCACCAUUCUGAUCAGUCAGCAGCCAACAGCAUUGAGGCAAGACCCUCCACCAGCAAAAAGAAUCUAACUCACUGAAGGCUCAGAUAAUGCUUAGCAUUUUUGAGCAAUAAAGUAUUUUUAAAUUAAGGUUCAGAACCUUUCAGAUCAACUUACCAGUAAGUUCAGUAUGUGAAACAGAUAAACGUAGUUGAAAUGGGACAAGAUAAGAGUUACUUCAACCUGCCAGCAUUCCCUGCUCUCAUUCCUACUCUGCACAGAAGAAGCUCCAGGGGGUACUUUGGAAGCCAUUGGAAAAAAAUCAUUCCCUCAUAAAUGACUUGAAAUGCCACAUCUGUAAUAUGCUACAUUAAAACGUUUGCUUAUUCCAAUUAUCUUUCUAUUUUCUUCCAAUCUCAUAUUUUAAUUUAUGGAGCCAAAGAGCUUUGUAAUAUAAAAAAAGAAAUUGAAACAUCUAAUAAGUAAAAUAACAACAUGAAGUCUUUUGGGGCCUAUAAAAUUAGCAUAUUUCUUUAUAAUAAUAUCCAUUAUUGGUAAGAGUUGACUAAAUUCUUUCAGUAUAGGGAAGAUUAAGUUGGUAAAACUAUGUAUUGGUCAAUAAUUUGAUAAUAUAUAUCACCAGUUUAUAAUGUUGAUAUUUUUCAGUCUACCAAAACAACUAGGAUUUAACCCUAAAGAAAUAACUGAAAAUGUAUGGAGAUAUUUUUUAUGUUUGUAGUAUUGAAAAUGAACCAGAUGUUUAACAGUGCAGGACUGAUCAAAUGAAUCCUAAACAGCCAUAAGACAGUAUACACUUCAGUGUCCAUCAUUACCACUUUCAGUGAGGGGAAAAAGAAAAAAUAUACCAUACUAAGCACCUUAAUUAUAUUGUCUUAUUUUAAGCCUAACAAUAUCCCUAGAUAAUAUGUAUUAUUAUUCCCAUUUAUAGAUGAGAAAACAUAGAAGUUCAAACAGUUAGUAAAGUAGGAUUGCUAGAAUUCAGCCCAUGUCUGCUCUUAAUCCUUCUUCUUAAUGGUCCUAGUGGUAUAGGAAAAUGUUUAUUUUUACUAAAUUACUGUUUUAAUACCAUCUAAGUGACAUUAAAUAAACAAAAAUCCUUCCAAAUGCAAUCACUUCUUCCUUUCCAUAGUUACAGAUGCUUCAUAAUCUGCCCCCCCAAAUGAAUCGACCAUUAUACAUUUUAAAAAUUGACUUUGGAAGUAUUAAAUGCCUGCUCUAAGAAUUCAAACAAUACUGAAAAUUAUAAAGUAGCUGUACCUUUAAUCAUAAAACAUAUUUUUGUAUAUGAUUGGAUGUACUUGUAGGCUCUGUUUUAUGCUUGUCAAUUCUAUCUCUUUUUGCUCUGAUACCGACUUUAUAGGCCCUGGUUGGGGAUGGAGACAGACCAGAAAGGCAAACUGGGUGAAGAUGCGUAGAUCUGGAUGGCUAACUUUCAACACAAUACAUUUUAUAGGUUGCAUAGCAUGGUGGUUAAAAGCACUAGUUCUGGAGCCUGACUGGCUAGAUUACGUCCCAGCUUUUGAACUUGGGUAAUUUGUCCUGUUGGUGCCUCAGUGUCUUCAUAAAAUUAAGGUGGUCAUUCAUUGCACUUACCUCAUAAAAUUGGGGUGAGGAAUAAACUAGUUAAUAUAUGUAAAGUACUUAGAACAGUACCUGGCACAUAGUAAGUACUCAACCAUUACCUGCAAUUGUCAGGAUCAUGAUCGUGGUGGUAGUGGUGAUGAUGGAUAGGUGCAGAGAUGGGGAGAAAAGAAAAAAGAACUUAUGCGCAUUUACUAUGUGCCAUUUACUCACAUGAUCUCCCAAUUAGAUCUCUCAGUUCAAUAUUUUCAUCAUUACCUUUUUAGCAGGUGAGGAAUCUAAAAUUCAAGGAGGUUAAAAUGGAAGCAGUAGAAUGAAUCAUUAGACUCAUUUCAAGGACAAAGAACGAGAUAAAUACUGAAAGCCACCUGGCCAGCAGAUAACAAAAUACUGUGGAAUGAAAUGAAAAACAAGCCUUAGAAUCACACCACCCUUUAGGACCAAGGGGGCAGUGUUUUAAUAUUCAGGACUGGUUGUGUGCCUGUCUAGUACCAGAAAACUUUGGACAUUUAACUUUUUGUGCUGGUGUAUUUUCUGUUAACAUUUUCUGUUUUUUUUUUCCCCCUGGUCUGUCCUAAAAUUACUUUUGAGUUAUCAGUCUAUUUGAUUUGUACUUUGAAGGAGCAAAAAGACAAAAGGAAUCUGUGGAACUUUCAGGAAGAACAUGUCAGACACAGGUGUGCUGGGCUUCAAAUGCCAGAAGCUCACAAGGGAAAAGAAAUGCAAGGAGGAAAACCCUUUUCCCCAGAGGCUUUUGGAAUAUUCUUUGCCCUAACCUUAGAGGAUUUCGAACAAUAUUUCCUAGAGAAUGGCCUUUCACUCACUUAUCUGUCCAGCAUGACUCAUCCCCAAGAGCUGAGUAAGUGGAAUUUUAUGGUAUUUAUGUUUUUGUGACUUUUAUAAUCAUGGUGAUAUGGAAAGAACAUGGACUUUGGAGUCAGACAGACCUUAGGUAAAUUUCUGGCUUUGUCACUUAGUAGUUGUGUAAUUUUGGCCUAGUUAAUAACUUCUCUGGGCUGCUUCAUCUACAAAAUAAUAAUGAAGUCUACAUCAUAGAAUUGGUAUGAAAAUGAGAUGAGGCAGCAAAAAUAAAAGUGAACUAUAUAAACUCUG